GUUGUUGUUUUAAUGUUAGUUUUUUAAGUUAGCAAUGAGUCGCAUAAUACACUUUUGAAUUUUGUCGCUGGGGGGCCUACUUUUCAUAUUUCGCCUCAGGGCCCAUUAGAUACAGGACCGGCUCUGGUUACCAAUAUCUUUUAUACUCUAUCACUAUCAAUUUCCACAAAUUCAGCCCAUAUAUUUCCAAUGUACUGGAAUGUUAACUAUGUAUGAACUAUGGGGCUGGUAUAUAAGUGUUAUUAAACUUAGCUGAUUUCCAU
RNAcentral lists this long non-coding RNA (263 nucleotides) under Olea europaea (common olive). RNAcentral's name for it is "long non-coding RNA (OEUR_LNC000627)". Lineage: Eukaryota; Viridiplantae; Streptophyta; Magnoliopsida; Lamiales; Oleaceae. The record is from RNAcentral.